UACGGGGGGGGCAAGCGUUGUUCGGAAUUACUGGGCGUAAAGGGCUCGUAGGCGGCCAACUAAGUCGGACGUGAAAUCCCUCGGCUUAACCGGGGAACUGCGUCCGAUACUGGAUGGCUUGAGUUUGGGAGAGGGAUGCGGAAUUCCAGGUGUAGCGGUGAAAUGCGUAGAUAUCUGGAGGAACACCGGUGGCGAAGGCGGCAUCCUGGGGCAAUUACUGACGCUGAGUGAGCGAAAGCGAGGGGAGCAAACGGG
Molecule: ribosomal RNA, 255 nt
Filed under: uncultured bacterium
Lineage: Bacteria
Description: partial 16S ribosomal RNA
Rfam family: Bacterial small subunit ribosomal RNA
Source: RNAcentral